GCCGCGUGAGUGAAGAAGGCCUUCGGGUUGUAAAGCUCUUUCGCGAGGGAAGAAAAGGUACGGGUUAAUACCCUGUGCCGAUGACGGUACCUUGAUAAGAAGCACCGGCUAACUACGUGCCAGCAGCCGCGGUAAUACGUAGGGUGCGAGCGUUAAUCGGAAUUACUGGGCGUAAAGCGUGCGCAGGCGGUUUUGUAAGUCAGAUGUGAAAUCCCCGGGCUCAACCUGGGAACUGCAUUUGAGACUGCAAGGCUAGAGUUUGGCAGAGGGGGGUGGAAUUCCACGUGUAGCAGUGAAAUGCGUAGAGAUGUGGAGGAACACCGAUGGCGAAGGCAGCCCCCUGGGCCAAUACUGACGCUCAUGCACGAAAGCGUGGGGAGCAAACAGGAUUAGAUACCCUGGUAGUCCACGCCCUAAACGAUGUCAACUAGGUGUUGGGAGGGUUAAACCUCUUAGUGCCGUAGCUAACGCGUGAAGUUGACCGCCUGGGGAGUACGGCCG
RNAcentral lists this ribosomal RNA (501 nucleotides) under uncultured bacterium. Its description in RNAcentral is "bacterial SSU rRNA". It matches the Rfam family "Bacterial small subunit ribosomal RNA", at positions 396 to 888 of the family's 1533-position model. The record is from RNAcentral.